RNAcentral lists this ribosomal RNA (464 nucleotides) under Vreelandella stevensii. Its description in RNAcentral is "partial 16S ribosomal RNA". It matches the Rfam family "Bacterial small subunit ribosomal RNA", at positions 338 to 795 of the family's 1533-position model. Lineage: Bacteria; Pseudomonadati; Pseudomonadota; Gammaproteobacteria; Oceanospirillales; Halomonadaceae. The record is from RNAcentral.
CCUACGGGGGCUGCAGUGGGGAAUAUUGGACAAUGGGGGGAACCCUGAUCCAGCCAUGCCGCGUGUGUGAAGAAGGCCCUCGGGUUGUAAAGCACUUUCAGUGAGGAAGAACGCCUGGUGGUUAAUACCCAUCAGGAAAGACAUCACUCACAGAAGAAGCACCGGCUAACUCCGUGCCAGCAGCCGCGGUAAUACGGAGGGUGCGAGCGUUAAUCGGAAUUACUGGGCGUAAAGCGCGCGUAGGUGGCUUGAUAAGCCGGUUGUGAAAGCCCCGGGCUCAACCUGGGAACGGCAUCCGGAACUGUCAAGCUAGAGUGCAGGAGAGGAAGGUAGAAUUCCCGGUGUAGCGGUGAAAUGCGUAGAGAUCGGGAGGAAUACCAGUGGCGAAGGCGGCCUUCUGGACUGACACUGACACUGAGGUGCGAAAGCGUGGGUAGCAAACAGGAUUAGAUACCCUGGUAGUC